Molecule: ribosomal RNA, 433 nt
Filed under: Scoliodon sp. GP0066
Lineage: Eukaryota; Metazoa; Chordata; Chondrichthyes; Carcharhiniformes; Carcharhinidae
Description: partial 16S ribosomal RNA
Rfam family: Bacterial large subunit ribosomal RNA
Source: RNAcentral
AUAAUAUUUAACGGCCGCGGUACCUUGACCGUGCGAAGGUAGCAUAAUCACUUGUCUUUUAAAUGAAGACUUGUAUGAAAGGCAUCACGAGAAUUUAACUGUCUCUAUUUUCUAAUCAAUGAAAUUGAUUUAUUCGUGCAGAAGCGAAUAUAAUGACAUUAGACGAGAAGACCCUAUGGAGCUUUAAACACUUAAAUUAAUUAUAUAAUAAUUUUUCUCUCAGGAUUUAAACUCAAUAUAUAAUAAUUUUAAUUUAACUGUUUUCGGUUGGGGUGACCAAGGGGAAAAAUAAAUCCCCCUUAUCGAUCGAGUACUAAGUACUUAAAAAUUAGAAUAACAAUUCUAAUUAAUAAAAUAUUUACCGAAAAAUGACCCAGGAUUUCCUGAUCAAUGAACCAAGUUACCCUAGGGAUAACAGCGCAAUCCUUUCUUA